GACGAACCGUGCGAACGUUAUUCGGAAUCACUGGGCUUAAAGCGCGUGUAGGCGGGCGGGCACGUCCGACGCUGAAAUCCCCCGGCUCAACCGGGGAAUGGGCGGGGAUACGACCAGCCUGGAGGGACGGAGGGGGACCUGGAACUUCCGGUGGAGCGGUGAAAUGCGUUGAGAUCGGAAGGAACGCCCGUGGCGAAAGCGGCAUCCUGGACCGGUAUUGACGCUGAGGCGCGAAAGCUAGGGGAGCAAACGGG
RNAcentral lists this ribosomal RNA (254 nucleotides) under uncultured bacterium. Its description in RNAcentral is "partial 16S ribosomal RNA". It matches the Rfam family "Bacterial small subunit ribosomal RNA", at positions 524 to 776 of the family's 1533-position model. The record is from RNAcentral.